Molecule: ribosomal RNA, 483 nt
Filed under: uncultured bacterium
Lineage: Bacteria
Description: partial 16S ribosomal RNA
Rfam family: Bacterial small subunit ribosomal RNA
Source: RNAcentral
AUUGAACGCUGGCGGCAGGCCUAACACAUGCAAGUCGAGCGGAUGAAGGGAGCUUGCUCCUGGAUUCAGCGGCGGACGGGUGGGUAAUGCCUAGGAAUCUGCCUGGUAGUGGGGGAUAACGUCCGGAAACGGGCGCUAAUACCGCAUACGUCCUGAGGGAGAAAGUGGGGGAUCUUCGGACCUCACGCUAUCAGAUGAGCCUAGGUCGGAUUAGCUAGUUGGUGGGGUAAAGGCCUACCAAGGCGACGAUCCGUAACUGGUCUGAGAGGAUGAUCAGUCACACUGGAACUGAGACACGGUCCAGACUCCUACGGGAGGCAGCAGUGGGGAAUAUUGGACAAUGGGCGAAAGCCUGAUCCAGCCAUGCCGCGUGUGUGAAGAAGGUCUUCGGAUUGUAAAGCACUUUAAGUUGGGAGGAUGGCAGUAAGUUAAUACCUUGCUGUUUUGACGUUACCAACAGAAUAAGCACCGGCUAACUUCGUG